GACGUAGGGCGCGAGCGUUGUCCGGAUUUAUUGGGCGUAAAGAGCUCGUAGGCGGCUUGUUGCGUCGACCGUGAAAACCCGGGGCUCAACUUCGGGCUUGCGGUCGAUACGGGCGGGCUAGAGUUCGGGAGAGGGAUGCGGAAUUCCAGGUGUAGCGGUGAAAUGCGUAGAUAUCUGGAGGAACACCGGUGGCGAAGGCGGCAUCCUGGACCGACACUGACGCUGAGGAGCGAAAGCCAGGGGAGCAAACGGG
Molecule: ribosomal RNA, 253 nt
Filed under: uncultured bacterium
Lineage: Bacteria
Description: partial 16S ribosomal RNA
Rfam family: Bacterial small subunit ribosomal RNA
Source: RNAcentral